UGACCUCAAAUCAGGUAGGAUUACCCGCUGAACUUAAGCAUAUCAAUAAGCGGAGGAAAAGAAACUAACAAGGAUUCCCCUAGUAACUGCGAGUG
This 95-nucleotide ribosomal RNA is filed under the name Laricifomes officinalis. RNAcentral describes it as "Fomitopsis officinalis partial 28S ribosomal RNA". It matches the Rfam family "Eukaryotic large subunit ribosomal RNA", at positions 1 to 95 of the family's 3401-position model. Lineage: Eukaryota; Fungi; Basidiomycota; Agaricomycetes; Polyporales; Laricifomitaceae. The record is from RNAcentral.